Molecule: small nuclear RNA, 187 nt
Organism: Aegilops tauschii subsp. strangulata
Lineage: Eukaryota; Viridiplantae; Streptophyta; Magnoliopsida; Poales; Poaceae
Product: U2 spliceosomal RNA
Source: RefSeq, a predicted model, not a curated record
AUAUCUUUCUCGGCCUCUUGGCUAAGAUCAAAUGUAGUAUCUGUUCAUAUCAGUUUAAUAUCUGAUACAAGGAUCUACGGAUCCAUGAGGUAUUAAUUUAAUCUUUUAUGGGAAGGUUUCGGCUUUGUUGUCGAGCCCUUGAGUGUUGCUUGGGCAUUGCAUUGAAGCCUUGGUUGACGCAUCCCAA